This 76-nucleotide transfer RNA is filed under the name bacterium. RNAcentral's name for it is "tRNA-His". It matches the Rfam family "tRNA". Rfam says of the family: Transfer RNA (tRNA) molecules are approximately 80 nucleotides in length. Their secondary structure includes four short double-helical elements and three loops (D, anti-codon, and T loops). RNAcentral also lists the same sequence under 2 other names. The record is from RNAcentral.
GCGAGAGUAGCUCAAUUGGUAGAGCAUCAGAUUGUGGAUCUGAGGGUUGCGGGAUCGUGCCCCGUCUCUUGCCCCA